GGGGUUGUGGCUCAGCAGUAGAGCGCUCACCUCGCAUGUGCAAGACCCUGGGUUCGAUCCUCAGCACCACA
RNAcentral lists this transfer RNA (71 nucleotides) under Marmota monax (woodchuck). Its description in RNAcentral is "tRNA.Ala". It matches the Rfam family "tRNA". From Rfam's summary of the family: Transfer RNA (tRNA) molecules are approximately 80 nucleotides in length. Lineage: Eukaryota; Metazoa; Chordata; Mammalia; Rodentia; Sciuridae. The record is from RNAcentral.